Molecule: ribosomal RNA, 160 nt
Filed under: Tricholoma lascivum
Lineage: Eukaryota; Fungi; Basidiomycota; Agaricomycetes; Agaricales; Tricholomataceae
Description: 5.8S ribosomal RNA
Rfam family: 5.8S ribosomal RNA
About the family: 5.8S ribosomal RNA (5.8S rRNA) is a component of the large subunit of the eukaryotic ribosome. It is transcribed by RNA polymerase I as part of the 45S precursor that also contains 18S and 28S rRNA.
Source: RNAcentral
ACAACUUUCAACAACGGAUCUCUUGGCUCUCGCAUCGAUGAAGAACGCAGCGAAAUGCGAUAAGUAAUGUGAAUUGCAGAAUUCAGUGAAUCAUCGAAUCUUUGAACGCACCUUGCGCCCCUUGGUAUUCCGAGGAGCAUGCCUGUUUGAGUGUCAUAAA